This 497-nucleotide ribosomal RNA is filed under the name uncultured bacterium. RNAcentral's name for it is "partial 16S ribosomal RNA". It matches the Rfam family "Bacterial small subunit ribosomal RNA", at positions 28 to 507 of the family's 1533-position model. The record is from RNAcentral.
GAUGAACGCUGGCGGCGUGCCUAAUACAUGCAAGUCGAGCGAACGGACGAGAAGCUUGCUUCUCUGAUGUUAGCGGCGGACGGGUGAGUAACACGUGGAUAACCUACCUAUAAGACUGGGAUAACUUCGGGAAACCGGAGCUAAUACCGGAUAAUAUUUUGAACCGCAUGGUUCAAAAGUGAAAGACGGUCUUGCUGUCUCUUAUAGAUGGAUCCGCGCUGCAUUAGCUAGUUGGUAAGGUAACGGCUUACCAAGGCAACGAUGCAUAGCCGACCUGAGAGGGUGAUCAGCCACACUGGAACUGAGACACGGUCCAGACUCCUACGGGAGGCAGCAGUAGGGAAUCUUGCGCAAUGGGCGAAAGCCUGACGGAGCAACGCCGCGUGAGUGAUGAAGGUCUUCGGGUCGUAAAACUCUGUUAUUAGGGAAGAACAUAUGUGUAAGUAACUGUGCACAUCUUGACGGUACCUAAUCAGAAAGCCACGGCUAACUACGUG